Musa acuminata AAA Group (dessert banana) is the source of this 1180-nucleotide long non-coding RNA. RefSeq lists it as uncharacterized. The record is from RefSeq and is a predicted model, not a curated record. The transcript has 2 exons. NCBI's taxonomy places the organism in Eukaryota, Viridiplantae, Streptophyta, Magnoliopsida, Zingiberales, Musaceae.
CCCCCCCCCCCCCCCCCCCCCCUUUUCUUUUCGACAAUUCAGUGCGAUAUUUGUUUGGCUUGCAAGUCUUUGCUGCUUUGUCCGUUGAUCUCUAAAAUUUUGUAUUUUGAUUGAAUUUGGUCGACCGAUGAUAUUUUUCUCGGAAACGGCUUCGAGACGUGGAAAUGGGGCAUGAAGGAGAUUGGUCAUUGCAGCAAAAGCUCCAUCAGGAAAAGCUUGAACAGCUUUUUUUUCAACUGGUUCAAUUGUUAAUGCAAAAUUGUUUUUGACCAAAAGAAGAGUAAUCGAAGGUAAUGGCUUCUGCUAUCGGCUAGUAGGGGUUACAUUUGCAAGCCUCUCAUUCCAGCAUAUGGCUAAAGGUAAGGAUCGAAAAAGAUGUUGCUGCACUUAAUCACAUGAGCUUCUCUACUGCUCUUCCUAACAACAACAUAUUGGAAUUGUGGAAGCGACCUUCUGGUUCUAAGCUUACGCAUUCACUUUUCCAGUUUGAUCUUGCAUUUGUUACAUGAAUAAUCUUUUCCUCUUUAUAAAGUUAAUAUGACAGGAAAGUAGACAGUGCUAAAUAAGAUAGAAUACGAACAGAAUCCUUACAUGUUGCACUUCUCUGAGGCGCAAAUGAAAUGAUGCAAUUAUGUGAAUAUCUUGUCCUCUUUCGAUCUAUAAAGUUUCAGAAAGUACACAGCUUUUAGCAAUACUCACUAGAACAGCCAAAGGUGAUCCUUAUAGCUUGCCCUUGAUUUUUUUUGUUUUUUUUUUGUGCAUUUGCUAAAAAACCUUAUUACAAGGACACAGUUUUAUUUGCAUUAACUUCAUCUGGUCUUAGUCAUCCAGCAAAUGCAUUUCUACUUUCUGAGAGCAGCUGCAAGUUGUGGUAAGUAGUUGCCUGACAAAUCUCUUAAAAUUUCAGCUACUGCUUGCUUUAGAUGUACUGACGUUGAUGAGUUCUGGUAAUCUUCAGGAAAAUUGAGAUAAAAAGGAUUCAUCAUGUGGAUGAAAAUGAAGGACAAGAAAACUAUGUUCUUCGACUUGUCUGCAUCUACCGUUGGUGACUCAAACUUGGUGAAGUGAUCAGAGUAAAUAUUUAGUAAGAAAGCAUUUUAACUCCGUCCAAAUGCGCUUGAUGUUUAUUAUUAACAUUAUGUUAUUGGUUUUCUUUCCUAAAUAAUUUGGGGUUAAUAUA